Molecule: long non-coding RNA, 252 nt
Filed under: Gossypium barbadense (sea-island cotton)
Lineage: Eukaryota; Viridiplantae; Streptophyta; Magnoliopsida; Malvales; Malvaceae
Description: long non-coding RNA (GBAR_LNC000153)
Source: RNAcentral
CAAUCUACUCCUUGCAAACUCAGGAUUGUCAUGUUGAUAUCUUCGAUCUGCUUUCCGUCGAACACAGAGACGCCAAAUCUGCUUCUUCGAUUUGUUUUCUGACAAUACAGAGAUACCAAAUCAUCUUAGAUUUGCUUCAACAUAAACACAUGAAAGCCAAAUCAGCUAUGUCUUCGAUUUGUUCCUUGUAAGCACAAGGAUGCCAAAUCAUCUUGGAUCUACUUCAGUAUAAACAUAUGAAGGCCAGAUCUG